Non-coding RNA from Chlamydotis undulata (Houbara bustard), 230 nucleotides. The record is from Rfam. NCBI's taxonomy places the organism in Eukaryota, Metazoa, Chordata, Aves, Otidiformes, Otididae.
CUAGGAGAACCGAAAACAGUUCUAGACUGACCUGCGGUUUUAUAGCACUUUGGCAGUCAACUUCAGCUUGUGUCAGAGCAGACAGGCCAGAGCUGCCCAAGGCUUUAAUCACGGGACGUCACCUCCUCGGACGCGGUGCAGCUCCCCUCCACCACCGCCCCAACCCACCCGCUACCCCUUGCAUUUCAAUAAAUUUCCGACCUCGGGGCUAGAAAUGGGGAGCAGAGCCG